RNAcentral lists this ribosomal RNA (329 nucleotides) under uncultured eukaryote. RNAcentral's name for it is "partial 18S ribosomal RNA". It matches the Rfam family "Eukaryotic small subunit ribosomal RNA", at positions 1470 to 1796 of the family's 1831-position model. The record is from RNAcentral.
CCCUUAGGUGUUCUGGGCCGCACGCGCGCUACACUGACGAUGGCAACGAGUUUUUCCUUCGCCGAAAGGUGUGGGUAAUCUUUUGAAACAUCGUCGUGCUGGGGAUAGACCAUUGCAAUUUUUGAUCUUGAACGAGGAAUUCCUAGUAAGCGCGAGUCAUCAGCUCGCGUUGAUUACGUCCCUGCCCUUUGUACACACCGCCCGUCGCUACUACCGAUUGAAUGGUUUAGUGAGGACUCCUGAUUGGCGCCGCCGCCCCGGCAACGGAGCAGCGGACUGCCGAAAAGUUGUUCAAACUUGAUCAUUUAGAGGAAGUAAAAGUCGUAACA